Molecule: long non-coding RNA, 822 nt
Organism: Anopheles gambiae (African malaria mosquito)
Lineage: Eukaryota; Metazoa; Arthropoda; Insecta; Diptera; Culicidae
Exons: 2
Source: RefSeq, a predicted model, not a curated record
ACUUCUGAAGUAAUGGAAACAUUUAAAUUCAUUAUUUUACCCAGAAAAAGCGUCUGGGACAUUAAUCGUACUUGUAAAACUGUGCUACCGUCGUCUCCGAGGAGCUCGGAUUCAGCUGAUGUUUGGGCGCCGCUUUGGCGCUCGAGCUACGCUUCACGGUCGGUGCGGUUGACAGGGCUUACCCGAUUGAACAGGAUACGCUCCCGGCCCCACAGCGACACCUCCUCCAGUAUCACCGACAUGUCCUUGUGCAUCUUCAGGCAGAGCUGGACCGGAUCCAGUGCGCCCCCGAUCGGGCGUCCGAUCGAUGCUAGCAGCUGGUCAAUUUUCUCCCGCACCAGCUCGUGCGAACAGACCGCAUCGUUUAGUAUUCCCUGCGACGAGUCUGCAGUUGUGGGGUAAGGGGGCAAGCCGUGGCCAUCGUGUAAGGGGGUAGAGGGGCACGCGUUGGCGUAACGGUGCGUGACAUAUUUGGGAUGUGCGAUUUGUUGCGUUUUGUCCACCAACACCAUCCACCACCACGCCCAAACAUGCAAAGGAAGAAACGGAAAGAAACGCGGCGCACUAAUAAGCUAAAGCAGAGUAGAACGUGCCGUGCAUCGGUAACGGGGAGGCGACAAAUGAGUGAUCGAAUUCCCGGCGGCCGGUGUCUGUAUGUAGAUGUGUAUAGGGGGAAGAGAAUUUGCGAAAGAAAGUUCAAAUCAAUUUCACCUAACAGUUCCGUCUGCUGUCGCUGCAGGGCGAGCAUUUUGUCGCGAAAACAGGCCGUUAUCUCGUCGUUGAUCUCGGAAAAGCGGCUCUGAAAGUGAAGGGUAAAUAAAG